UCUGUGUGGUGUUCCAGAAGAGAUUAGCAUCAGAAGACUAAAGAAGAUCUGCCCUCACCAAUGCAGAGCAAGUUUGCCAACCUGUAUCUUAAUUCAUCUUUGUGGCCAGAGAAGUGGAUUUACUGAUUUGUUUCAGCUGAUCAAUGUCUAUAAUAAGCAAUGUUGAUGGGCUGAAAACCACACAAACUACCAGAGGGGUUGCUUUUCCGAAGAAUCAUGUAAGGAUAAAAGAGAAAGAAAGAGAGAAAGACCUUGGAACCCAACUAGUAUCUACCAAAUUUCUCUUCAGGGAAUUUUGUCUGGUUCAAGAAGUCAUACCCCAGCCCAAGAGAAGCCUUGGACAUCUCUCAUAAGACAUCCAAGGGACAGAGCUCCUGGGAGACCUAGAGUGAGCUGGAGAGUGAACAACAUACCCCACUGGGAAGUAAGCAGCCCUGGAUUCUGCCUCUUGCUAACUGAUUCGUUUCGAACCCUGUUUUUCUAUCUGUAAAAGGGACUGUAAC
Molecule: long non-coding RNA, 503 nt
Filed under: Pan troglodytes (chimpanzee)
Lineage: Eukaryota; Metazoa; Chordata; Mammalia; Primates; Hominidae
Description: long non-coding RNA NONPTRT007153
Source: RNAcentral